RNAcentral lists this long non-coding RNA (3973 nucleotides) under Sus scrofa (pig). RNAcentral describes it as "lncRNA (ENSSSCG00050040946.1)". The record is from RNAcentral. Lineage: Eukaryota; Metazoa; Chordata; Mammalia; Artiodactyla; Suidae.
UCAAGGUCCAUACAUGUUGUUGCAAAUAGCAGGGUUCCCUUCUUUCUCAAGGCUGAAUAAUAUUCCACUAAAUUUACAUGCCACAUCUUCUUUUCCCAUUCAUUCACUGUUGGACACCAAGUUGCUUCCCUAUCUUAGCUAUGGUGGAUAAUACUGCAAUGAAUAUAGGAGUGCAGAUCUCUCUUUGACAUUCUGUUUUCUUUUCCUUUGGCUAUAUACUCAAAAUGUUAAAUUUCCAGAUCAAAGAAUAGUUCUUUUUUUAGUUUUAUAAGGAAACUCGACACUAUUUUCCAUAAUGGCUGCACCAAUUUACAUUCAAACUGACAGUGCACAAGUGUUCCCUUUUCUCCAUAUCCUAACCAAUACCUUUUAUCUCUGUUAAAUGAUAAAAAUUAUGACAGGUGUGAGGUGAUCUUACUGUGGUUUUGAUUUGCAUUUCCCUGGUAAUUAGUGAUGUUAAACAAUUUUUAAUUUACAUGUUGGCCAUCUGUAUGUCUUCUUUGGAAAAAUGUCUAUUCAGUUACUUUUUAAAUCAAAUUGCUUGGUUUUUCAUUAUUGAUUUGUGUAAGUAUCAAUGUAUUUUGGAUAUCAACCCCUUAACAGACACAUGAUUUGAAAAUACUUUCUCUUAUUCAUUAGGUUGCAUUUUCCUUUUGCUUAUAGUUUCCUUUAUCGCACAGUAGCUUUUUACUUUGAUGUACUCCAGCCCAUUUAUUGAGUUUUGCUUUUGUUGCCAAAUUCAAAGAAAUCAUUGCCAAGACCAAUUUCAAGCAGUUUACCCCAUUUUAUGGCUUCAGGUUUUAUGUUCAAAUCUUCAAUUCAUUUGGCGUUCAUUUCUGUGUAUGGUAUAAGAUAGGGGUCCAAUUUUCACAACAUUACUUAUUAAAAAGACUAUUCUUUGCCCAAUGAAUAUUCUUAGUUCUUUUGUCAUUAAUUGGCCACUUAUGUGAUGAUUUAUAAGAUCUCACUUCUGUUCCAUUAAUCUAUCUGUUUCUAUGCCGAUGCCACACUGUUUAGAUUAUAUAGCUUUGUAAUAUUGCUUGAAAUCAGAAAGUGUGAUGCCUCUAGCUUUAUUUUUCCUCAAGACUGCUUUGGAAGUUCCUACUGUGGCUCAGUGUGUUACAAACCUAACUAGUAUCCAUGAGGAUGCGGGUUCAAUCCUUGGCCUCACUCAGUGUGUUAAGGAUCCAGCACUGCUAUAUGUUGUGGGUGGUGUAGGUCGCAGAUGUGGCUCAGAUCCCACAUUGCUGUCUGUGACAUAAGCCAGCAGCUGCAGCUCCAAUUCAACCCCUAGCCUGGGAACUUCCAUAUGCCAUAGGUGCAGCCAUUAAAAAAAAAAAAAAAAAAAGGCUGCUUUGGCUAUUCAGAUCUUUUGCAGGUCCAUACAAAUUUUAGGAUUGCUUUUAGUAUUUGUGAAAAAUGCUACUAAACUUCUGAUAGAGUUCAUUGAACCUGGAGAUUGCUUUAGAUAGAAUGGACAUUUUUAACAACAUAAACUUUUCCAAUCUAUGAAUACAGAGUAGUUUCUAUUUAUUUGUGUCUUCUUCAAUAUCUUUCAUCAAUGUUUUAUAAUAUUUAGUGUACAUAUCUUUCACCUCUCUGGUUAAAUUUAUAACCAGGUUUUAUUCUUUUUGAUAAAACUGUAAACAGGAUUGUUUUAUUAAUUUCUCAGACAGUUCAUUUAGAGUGUACAAAAAUGCAACAGAUCUUUACAUUUUUUUUUAUCCUGCAAUUUCAAUGAAUUUGUUUAUUGGUUCCAACAGUGUUUUGGUGGUACCUCUGCAAAUAGAAACAGUUUUACUACUUCUUUUCUGGUCUGACUAUCUUUUAUUUAUUUUUGUCUGACUUCUCACUAGAACUUCCAGUACUAUAUUAUAUAGAAAUGGUGAGGAUCAGUUCUUUUUAUAUGGGAAACAGUCUUGUUCCUUAUGGUUAUUCACUGCAAAAACAACCCUGGGUAUGUGCCAUAUCAUACUGUUUUGAUUGCUGUAGCUUUGUGUUAUGGUCUGAAGUCAAGGAGUAUGAUUCUUCCAGCUCUGUCUUCUUUCUCAAGAUUGUUUUGGCUACCUGAGGUCUUUUGUGUUUCCAUACCAAUUAAAAAAAUUUUCUAGUUCUAUGAAAAAAAGCCACUAGUAUUUUGAUAGGAAUUGCUAUAAAUCUGUAGAUUGCCUUGGAUAAUAUGGUCAUUUUAACAAUAUUAAUUCUUCCAAUCCAAGAGCAUUUGUUUGUGUCAUCUUUAAUUUAUAAUAUGAGUGUCCUAUAGUUUUCAGAGUACAUUCAGAGUACAGGUCUUUACCUCCUUGGGAAGGUUUAUUCCUAGGUAUUUUAUUAUUUUUGGUGCAAUGGUAAAUGGGAUUGUUUCCUUAAUUUCUCUGAUAGUUUAAUAAAGUAUAGAAAUGCAACAGAUUUCGGUGUAUUAAUUUUGUAUCCUGCAACAUUACCAAAUUCUCUGAGCUUUUAUAGUUUUCUGGCAUUUUUUUUUUUUUUUUUUUUUUUUUUUUUUUUUUGCCUUUUGGUUGUGGGGGGAGGGCGUGCACUCACAGCAUAUGUAAGUUCCCAGGCUAGGGGGAGCAGCCCAAGAAAUGGCCAAAAGACAAAAAAAAAAAAAAAAAAAAAAAAAUCCAGUCAUGAACAAACACAUAAGUGAUCUAAAGCAUGACUUUUGAAAUUACGAUGAUGAUCCACUAUUAGAUAAGGAAAUAAAUUUAAUUAUGAACACUAGUAUAUGUUAAAAUAUACAAAAAUAUAUAUAUUAGAAUAGCGCAUGGCAUAUACUCCCACAUAGUCAGCUUAGAAUUGUUUCAACUUUUUUUAAUUUCAUUUGUGCAUUUACACCUGUGGAAAACAGCUCAUAAAUGUAAAUUUUAUUUCUUACUAUGGGUGUGGUAAAAAGAGUAUGUGAAUGUUACCUAUCUGAGAUAUCUUCAACUCUAAGUUUAAUCAUUCUAAUUUUAAAACUCCUUCAAAAAAUUUAAUGAAAUGAAAUCUGAUUAGACCCCUAGCCUGGGAUCGAAGUUAGGAAGGAAUGAAAAGACUAAAAGGAAAAAAGAUAUGGAUACAAAAAGUGAUUAGUAAGAAAACUCCUAAAUGUCUGCUGGUGGUAAACAUUUUUAAAGUUCCCAUGCAGACUCAGUUAAAUGAGAAGGAAAAUGAUGAGGAAAAGGAAAGGAUUGGAAGCUGGUGGGUGGAUACAGCAAGUGGAAAGAAGCUGAUAGGGACUCUGAGUCACUGUGUUAGAGGGCAAUACUAAAGGAGCCUAUGAUCUAAACCUGUCAGAAGUGUAUAAACAAAUACACAGAAACAUAAGGCAUUACUAUGAAAUGAAUGUUUAUCUCCCCCCGAACUCAUUUGUUGAAAUCAUAAUUUCCAGUGUAAUGGUAUCAGGAAUGAGGGUUUGGAAGGUGAUUAGGUCAUGAGGAUAGUAGAGCCUUCAUGAAUGGGAUCAGUGCCUUUAUAAGAAACCUUGUUGCGCUCUUUCAUUCCUUCUACCAUGUGAAGACACAGCAAGAAGAGGUCCACCUAUGAACCAGCAAGUGGGUCCUCACCAGACAAUAAAUCUGCUGGCACCUUGUUCUUUGAUUUUCCAACCUCCAAAACUGUGAAAAAUAAAUUUCUGUUAUUUGUAAGAUACCUAGUCUACAGUAUUUUUGUUGCCAAAGCCCAAACAGACUAAGGCAUUGACAGUACUGAAGUUUUAGAUGUACAUAUGAAUAAAUAUAUGCUUACCUAUCAGGAAAACUUUACUGAUCCACAAAUCUAACUGACACUUGAAAACUUAUGCUCUUGUUAUGGAUCAUAGAUGACUUCAGGCUCUGUACAACAGAGGUCUCCUCCACAAGUCUUGGAUGAAAAUAGGAAACAAAAAAAAUCAAGAAAACAGACAUAAGCUGAGUUCUCCCUCAACUGAGCUGCUGUAAAAACAGCAAAAACCCAGAAAAAUAAAUAAACAAACAAAAUAGCUUCAAAUAUUCCU